Molecule: ribosomal RNA, 427 nt
Filed under: uncultured bacterium
Lineage: Bacteria
Description: partial 16S ribosomal RNA
Rfam family: Bacterial small subunit ribosomal RNA
Source: RNAcentral
UGGGGAAUAUUGGACAAUGGGCGAAAGCCUGAUCCAGCCAUGCCGCGUGUGUGAAGAAGGUCUUCGGAUUGUAAAGCACUUUAAGUUGGGAGGAAGGGCAUUAACCUAAUACGUUAGUGUUUUGACGUUACCGACAGAAUAAGCACCGGCUAACUCUGUGCCAGCAGCAGCGGUAAUACAGAGGGUGCAAGCGUUAAUCGGAAUUACUGGGCGUAAAGCGCGCGUAGGUGGUAUGUUAAGUUGGAUGUGAAAUCCCCGGGCUCAACCUGGGAACUACAUUCAAAACUGACUGACUAGAGUAUGGUAGAGGGUGGUGGAAUUUCCUGUGUAGCGGUGAAAUGCGUAGAUAUAGGAAGGAACACCAGUGGCGAAGGCGACCACCUGGACUAAUACUGACACUGAGGUGCGAAAGCGUGGGGAGCAAACA